RNAcentral lists this ribosomal RNA (441 nucleotides) under uncultured bacterium. RNAcentral describes it as "partial 16S ribosomal RNA". It matches the Rfam family "Bacterial small subunit ribosomal RNA", at positions 338 to 795 of the family's 1533-position model. The record is from RNAcentral.
CCUACGGGAGGCAGCAGUGGGGAAUAUUUCACAAUGGGGGAAACCCUGAUGCAGCAACGCCGCGUGAGUGAGGAAGUAUUUCGGUAUGUAAAGCUCUAUCAGCAGGGAAUAGAAAAGCAGGUACCUGAAAAAGAAGCCCCGGCUAACUACUUGCCAGCAGCCGCGGUAAUACGUAGGGGGCAAGCGUUAACCGGUUUUACUGGGUGUAAAGGGAGCGUAGACGGAAAGGCAGGUCAGAAGUGAAAACCCAGGGCUCAACCAUGGGACUGCGUUGGAAACUGUCAAACUAGAGUACGGGAGAGGUAAGAGGAAUUCCUAGUGUAGCGGUGAAAUGCGUAGAUAUUAGGAGGAACACCAGUGGCGAAGGCGGCUUACUGGACCGAAACUGACGUUGAGGCUCGAAAGCGUGGGGAGCAAACAGGAUUAGAUACCCCGGUAGUC